CCUACGGGAGGCUGCAGUGGGGAAUAUUGCACAAUGGGGGGAACCCUGAUGCAGCGACGCCGCGUGAGUGAAGAAGUAUUUCGGUACGUAAAGCUCUAUCAGCAGGGAAGAAAAAAGGACGGUACCUGAGUAAGAAGCCCCGGCUAACUACGUGCCAGCAGCCGCGGUAAUACGUAGGGGGCAAGCGUUAUCCGGAUUUACUGGGUGUAAAGGGAGCGUAGACGGCGCGGCAAGUCUGAAGUGAAAGGCAGGGGCUUAACCCCUGAACUGCUUUGGAAACUGUCAUGCUAGAGAGCUGGAGAGGUAAGUGGAAUUCCUAGUGUAGCGGUGAAAUGCGUAGAUAUUAGGAGGAACACCAGUGGCGAAGGCGGCUUACUGGACAGUAACUGACGUUGAGGCUCGAAAGCGUGGGGAGCAAACAGGAUUAGAUACCCCUGUAGUC
RNAcentral lists this ribosomal RNA (442 nucleotides) under uncultured bacterium. RNAcentral describes it as "partial 16S ribosomal RNA". It matches the Rfam family "Bacterial small subunit ribosomal RNA", at positions 338 to 795 of the family's 1533-position model. The record is from RNAcentral.